CGAAAAUCGUUGGAAUCAUAAACAAACUCUGUUGGAAAAUUGCCAUUAUACAAUAUGUCUUCAAUUUUUAUAGCAGAUAUAAUAUAAUUCUGAUAUUACAAAUAACUGCAAUUAUCAAUUUUUAUCAAUUUCCACGACCUUAGUAGCAAUUUACCAACUUCCCGUGCAUAUAGUUAUCAAAGGUACCAGGAUUAUAAUUUAUUACGCCAGACGCGCAUUUCGUCUACAUAAGACUCAUCAGUGACGCUCAUAUCAAAAUAUUUAUAAAGCCAAACAAGUACAAAAUUGAAGAUAUGAGAUACAUAUUUCACAACUCAUUCUCUGUUCAAUAGCUUGCAGUUGCUACUCAGACUUUAUGAAACGUAACCAGUGUCUGAACAUAAUAUUGAUGAACCAGGGUUAUGUCACAAAACACCCCGUCCCUUUUCUGGAAAACUUUAUCGGAAGAUACAAAAACCUUGUUGAUAAAUAUCACAAAUAAAAAAUGAUGGUCUUGAUUUAUUUAUUCUAGUAGCUUAUAAGGCUUAUCCUCUUGUACGUGUUAAAGUGUUCUUGUCUUUGUAAAUUAUUACUUUUCUGUUUUAGUCUCUUUUUGGUGAUAUCAAUUUGACGUGGCUUGGUAGUUAUAUAUCCCGUUAUUGUGCUAUUUUAAUUUUUAUAUAACUGUCUUUCGUUUCUGAUUAUGUGCUUUGUCUAUAUGUCUUUUUGUAUUUCUUUGUUACAUAUUUUUUUUUGUUUUUAUAGUGAUUAAAGUACAAUGUUGACUCUUGUUCCACUUUAUUUGACAUU
This 789-nucleotide long non-coding RNA is filed under the name Mytilus galloprovincialis (Mediterranean mussel). The record is from RNAcentral. Lineage: Eukaryota; Metazoa; Mollusca; Bivalvia; Mytilida; Mytilidae.